This 391-nucleotide unclassified non-coding RNA is filed under the name soil metagenome. RNAcentral's name for it is "partial contains 5.8S ribosomal RNA, internal transcribed spacer 2, and large subunit ribosomal RNA". The stretch from base 1 to 122 matches the Rfam family "5.8S ribosomal RNA", at positions 35 to 154 of the family's 154-position model. The record is from RNAcentral.
GAUGAAGAACUUAGCGAAAUGCGAUACUUGGUGUGAAUUGCAGAAUCCCGUGAACCAUCGAGUCUUUGAACGCAAGUUGCGCCCGAAGCCAUUAGGCCGAGGGCACGCCUGCCUGGGCGUCACACGUCGUUGCCCCCCCAUCUACUCCUUCGGGAUUGCGGGGGGCGGAUGAUGGCCUCCCGUGCGCCUCGUCGCGCGGUUGGCAUAAAUGCCAAGUCCUCGGCGACACACGCCACGACAAUCGGUGGUUGCGAAACCUCGGUUGCCCGUCGUGUGCGGUCGUCGCGCAUCGAGGGCUCGAAAAAAUUGCCGGGCUCCGGCUCGGCUUUCAACGCGACCCCAGGUCAGGCGGGGUUACCCGCUGAAUUUAAGCAUAUCAAUAAGCGGAGGA